Molecule: long non-coding RNA, 2197 nt
Organism: Seriola aureovittata
Lineage: Eukaryota; Metazoa; Chordata; Actinopteri; Carangiformes; Carangidae
Exons: 2
Source: RefSeq, a predicted model, not a curated record
ACCUCCUUUUUAGCUUUUUCCCUUGGUUUUUUUAUGUUGUUUAAGUGGUAGCUGUUUGGGUGUGUGCAUGUGUGUGCGUGCGUUUGUGUGUGCACAACCAGCCCACACAGCAGUGUGAGGGGAGGAGACAACAGUAAGCGGGAGCGAUGUCAUUUCCCCCUCCCUCCUCCUUUUCUCCUCCUCCCUCCCUGACUCUCUCUCUCCUUCUCAUGCUUUUUCUCCUUCAUUGCCACGGCCAUCAGGAUCCAUCCUCUCUCUCGCAAUCAUUGGUUAUGCAAUGCACUGUUCUUCCACGGUGACUAACUGCCGCUGGAGCCCUACCGUAACACUGCUGUCACUGGCGGUAGGUGCAGAUCUAUACUGCCAGCUGCUGCCGCUUCAUGGGAUUUUACAGUGUUUCCUCCUUCGCUGGAAUAUCACCUGUCAGACUCGGCUGAUUCCAGGAGCAAUGUGUUGGUGCCCCGCUGAGCGGAGGCUGGGUGUCACCGAUACACCAUCAGCUGAGCCUACAGAGUCAUGCACGAUGCUGCCACGGGGGCUUCACUGAAGGGAAGGAUGCUUCUCUGAAAGGCACUAAUUGCUCCAUUUCCCAGAGGGUUCUCAAACAAGCGUUGAGGGUAGGGGUGGGGGACAGGGGAAGGAGGGAUUGCGUACGUUUACUAAUAAACUGGGGAGGGAGGGGGAGGAAUUUAGGCAAGCAGUGACAGGGAACUCAAGAUAUGGGGAGGAUGGGAGGAAAGGUGGGGAGGUGGGAGGGGGCAAAUGGGGAGAGGGUUUCUCCUCGCCCCCUAAACAGAGGCUGCUAGUGCUGUAGCAGCAGCAGCAGCAGCAAUGCAAACCUGCUGAUUAAAACCUGACUGCAAAGACUUGUGUGGGGGUGAACUUCAUCUGAAGGGAAGUUUGGGGCUGGUGGGCUGAAGCUGACAGGAGGGGCUACAAACCGGAGGAACAAGGAGAUAUUCACUGGAGACGCCCCCCCCCCCCCCACCCGUGGUAGCAUGCCGCGGUUUUCCAGUGAGGAUCCAAACAGCAUGCUGGAUGAUGUUGACUUACACCUUAGACGCCUUAGGAUAAGUGUUCCCUUGCCAGGUUAGCUGAGCGUCAGGAUCAUGGGCACCACAGUCAUCACCCUCGAGGACGUGCAGGUGCUGGAGGCCAAGGAGGAGCAGGAGGAGUCCAUCUUGGCCAUGUUGGGCAUCAUUGGCACAUUCCUGAACCUGUUUGUCAUCGUCUUUGUUUACAUUUACACCACACUGUGACGUAGUAAUGGAUAAAACCUGCUAUUAUAAGACAGGACACACUGAGGUGAGCUGCAGGAGAUAAUUUAAACAGUGAAUCUGGCAUGAACAUCUUCCCUGGAGAGACGAGGAGUGAACUGGACAGACUGGCUGAGGAUGAAGACAAAGAAGCCAUAUUACCAGGUCACAGUCAUAAGCCGGGGAGAUAACAAAGAGCUGGAGGACAUGACAGGAACAGGGCCACGCUGGGACCAGGUUGAGCAGAGCCAGACAGACACCAGCCAGCACCCAGCCAGGACUGACCUGCCUAAGGUCUGACAGGAAAUACAAACUUCACCUUGAUCUCAUUUUCUUGGACUCACUGGAAAGAUGAGCCAAACAAGAUGACACUGAUACAUUUCCUUUUUUUUACUUCCUUUUCCAGUCGGUGAGACUUUAGCUGCUACUUUCCUGAAGGGCUUUUAAGCAACAUGUUUAAAAGCAGAGUGUGUGAGACGGAUGGUGGGAAGCCAGUCUAGAGAAACUGUUGGUCAGUCAGACUUCAGGGCCCAACAUGUUUAUAUUCAGGGCUUCUGUCAGAGAAAUGUGGUUUUGGACAAACUCUGCUCUAUCGUCAUCUCCUCAGAAUAAAAACAAACACAUUUGUAUGUAGGAGUAUCCCCGCAACAACUGAGGAUGAAUUUAUAGAAAUUCCCCAAAAAUGUGAACAGCCAGAGGGCGGGGGUGCUGAAUGACUUAUAAUUAAACAAUACAGCUGAUUGACGUCUGAGGUGAACUGGGCCUUCUUCUUCUCCUGCACCUCUGACCACCGCUUCACACUGAUGAAUGGGGGGAGGGGGAGGGGCUGAAAGAUUCUCUUGAUAUAAUUGUUCAUGUUGAUUUCAGGGUAGUGUCAGCAAUCUGUUUCCUGUAUUAACAAGACUUUUCUAAAUAUUUGAAUAAAGUCUAGAUGUAUUGUG